Molecule: ribosomal RNA, 253 nt
Filed under: uncultured bacterium
Lineage: Bacteria
Description: partial 16S ribosomal RNA
Rfam family: Bacterial small subunit ribosomal RNA
Source: RNAcentral
UACAGAGGGGGCAAGCGUUGUUCGGAAUUACUGGGCGUAAAGGGCGCGUAGGCGGCCUUCUAAGCCGAACGUGAAAUCCCCGGGCUCAACCCGGGAACUGCGUCCGAUACUGGAAGGCUCGAAUCCGGGAGAGGGAUGCGGAAUUCCAGGUGUAGCGGUGAAAUGCGUAGAUAUCUGGAGGAACACCGGUGGCGAAGGCGGCAUCCUGGACCGGCAUUGACGCUGAGGCGCGAAAGCGUGGGGAGCAAACAGG